AUACGUAGGGGUCGAGCGUUGUCCGGAAUGAUUGGGCGUAAAGGGCGCGUAGGCGGCGCGGUAAGUCUGGAGUGAAAGUCCUGCUUUCAAGGUGGGAAUUGCUUUGGAUACUGCCGCGCUUGAGUGCAGGAGAGGUUAUCGGAAUUCCCGGUGUAGCGGUGAAAUGCGUAGAGAUCGGGAGGAACACCAGUGGCGAAGGCGGGUAACUGGACUGCAACUGACGCUGAGGCGCGAAAGUGUGGGGAGCAAACAGGAUUAGAUACCCUGGUAGUCCUCACGGUAAACGAUGAAGGCUAGGGGUAAGAGGUAUCGGCCCCUUUUGUGCCGGAGUCAACACAAUAAGCAUUCCGCCUGGGGGGUACGGCCGCAAGGUUGAAACUCAAAUGAAUGGACGGGG
This 397-nucleotide ribosomal RNA is filed under the name uncultured bacterium. Its description in RNAcentral is "partial 16S ribosomal RNA". It matches the Rfam family "Bacterial small subunit ribosomal RNA", at positions 523 to 918 of the family's 1533-position model. The record is from RNAcentral.